RNAcentral lists this ribosomal RNA (253 nucleotides) under uncultured bacterium. Its description in RNAcentral is "partial 16S ribosomal RNA". It matches the Rfam family "Bacterial small subunit ribosomal RNA", at positions 524 to 776 of the family's 1533-position model. The record is from RNAcentral.
GACAGAGGGUGCAAACGUUGUUCGGAAUUACUGGGCGUAAAGCGCGUGUAGGCGGUCUCGUAAGUCGGGUGUGAAAGCCCUGGGCUCAACCCAGGAAGUGCACUCGAAACUGCGAGGCUAGAGUACUGGAGAGGUUGGUGGAAUUCUCGGUGUAGAGGUGAAAUUCGUAGAUAUCGAGAGGAACACCGGUGGCGAAGGCGGCCAACUGGACAGAUACUGACGCUGAGACUCGAAAGCGUGGGGAGCAAACAGG